RNAcentral lists this ribosomal RNA (253 nucleotides) under uncultured bacterium. RNAcentral describes it as "partial 16S ribosomal RNA". It matches the Rfam family "Bacterial small subunit ribosomal RNA", at positions 524 to 776 of the family's 1533-position model. The record is from RNAcentral.
UACAGAGGGUGCGAGCGUUGUCCGGAAUCACUGGGCGUAAAGGGCGCGUAGGUGGCGACCCAAGUCGAUGGUGAAAGCUCGCCGCUCAACGGCGAGUCGGCCACCGAUACUGGGUUGCUGGAGCACUGUAGAGGCUCAUGGAAUUCCGGGUGUAACGGUGGAAUGCGUAGAGAUCCGGAAGAACACCGGUGGCGAAGGCGGUGAGCUGGGCAGUUGCUGACACUGAGGCGCGACAGCGUGGGGAGCAAACAGG